GAGAGCUUCGGCAGGAUUUCCGGUAAUUCGAGUGGCGGACGGGUGAGUAACGCGUGAACAAUCUGUCCCAGACAGGGGGAUAACACUUGGAAACAGGUGCUAAUACCGCAUAAGACCACGGCAUCGCAUGGUGCAGGGGUAAAAGGAGCGAUCCGGUUUGGGGUGAGUUCGCGUCCGAUUAGAUAGUUGGUGAGGUAACGGCCCACCAAGUCGACGAUCGGUAGCCGACCUGAGAGGGUGAUCGGCCACAUUGGAACUGAGAGACGGUCCAAACUCCUACGGGAGGCAGCAGUGGGGAAUAUUGGGCAAUGGGCGCAAGCCUGACCCAGCAACGCCGCGUGAGUGAAGAAGGCCUUCGGGUUGUAAAGCUCUGUUAUAGUUGACGAAGGAAGUGACGGUAGGCUAUAAGGAAGCCCCGGCUAACUACGUGCCAGCAGCCGCGGUAAUACGUAGGGGGCGAGCGUUGUCCGGAAUGACUGGGCGUAAAGGGCGUGUAGGCGGCGUGAUAAGUCUGGAGUGAAAGUCCUGCUUUUAAGGUGGGAAUUGCUUUGGAUACUGUUAGGCUUGAGUGCGGAAGAGGUAAGUGGAAUUCCCAGUGUAGCGGUGAAAUGCGUAGAGAUUGGGAGGAACACCAGUGGCGAAGGCGACUUACUGGGCCGUAACUGACGCUGA
RNAcentral lists this ribosomal RNA (672 nucleotides) under uncultured rumen bacterium. RNAcentral's name for it is "bacterial SSU rRNA". It matches the Rfam family "Bacterial small subunit ribosomal RNA", at positions 68 to 749 of the family's 1533-position model. The record is from RNAcentral.